This 303-nucleotide ribosomal RNA is filed under the name Triticum aestivum (bread wheat). Its description in RNAcentral is "partial small subunit ribosomal RNA". Lineage: Eukaryota; Viridiplantae; Streptophyta; Magnoliopsida; Poales; Poaceae. The record is from RNAcentral.
AUGCAACUGAAGGAGGAGAAGGUGGCUUUGACAGACAAAGUGGAUAUUCUCACUGAGAAGAUGGACGAGCUCGAAACUUAUCUGGGUGGUCUCGCCAAGAAGAUGUUCCUCAUGCUUGAUGAGUUUUGUCAGAAUUUCGAGGAGGAAAUUGGGUGGAUCAAGACAGGACUGGACCCCAUCAAUUGCCCCAUCAAGGAUGAAGCUGCCAUGAACAUGUUGCGACUGGAAUCUCGUCUUGCCAGUGUCUUGGACUACGUCGUCCGACUGAGAGUUGCAAUGUCUCGGAUCGAUGAGGAGCUCUGA